CAGAUCGCAUGAUCAGUACUUUUUAAAAGGCGGCGUAAGCUGUCGCUAGUGGGGAUGGCCCCGCGGUGCAUUAGCUAGUUGGUAAAGGUAAAAGGGCUUACCAAGGCGAUGAUGCAUAGCCGAGUUGAGAGACUGAUCGGCCACAUUGGGACUGAGACACGGCCCAAACUCCUACGGGAGGCAGCAGUAGGGAAUCUUCCACAAUGGACGCAAGUCUGAUGGAGCAACGCCGCGUGAGUGAAGAAGGUUUUCGGAUCGUAAAGCUCUGUUGUUGGUGAAGAAGGAUAGAGGUAGUAACUGGCCUUUAUUUGACGGUAAUCAACCAGAAAGUCACGGGCUAACUACGUGCCAGCAGCCGCGUAAU
Molecule: ribosomal RNA, 364 nt
Filed under: uncultured Lactobacillus sp.
Lineage: Bacteria; Bacillati; Bacillota; Bacilli; Lactobacillales; Lactobacillaceae
Description: bacterial SSU rRNA
Rfam family: Bacterial small subunit ribosomal RNA
Source: RNAcentral